AUCCUAGGAUUACAAAGGAUUUCUUUACCUUUUUUUUCUUAUACUUUCUCUAGUCUUUUGGUUUAGAGAUUUACAUUUGUAUUUCCUGGGAGAAAUUAAACCAUUUUGAAGAGUUUCUCUUUAUCUUUCACAAUGAGUUUGACCUUAAAGCCUAUCUUAUCUGAAAUGACGAAUGCUGUUUUUGUUAUUGUUGUAAGGCUGUACGUGUGCACAGGCAUGUGUGUGCGCGCGCACACACACAUUUGCUCGCGCGCGCGCGCACACACACACACACACACCUCAGUUUUACAACACUCAGAUUCUGAUUUUUUUUUAAAGAUCUCAUUCUUUUAAAAUCUCUUUUGUGGGGGAUGUAAGGAAUCUUGAGUGAAUGUGUCUUACAAUGACACAGCCAUAUCAAGGGCCCCAAUGCCUCAGACCUAUGGAAAUAACAAAGUCUUCCCUGGUAAGAUUCAUAGGGAUGCCAAAGCCCUCCUCUGGUCCAAGUGUGAGUGUCGAUGGUGUGUGCAGAAACUGUCAAGCACAGCUUCCUCUUCAGUGAUGGCUGCAGCCUGAGACUGCUCCCUACAGAGACCUCCUGCCCAGAUUAGCUAUCCCUGCCUCCUUGGUCAGCUGUGGACCAUAAAGCCCCCACUCCCACCUUGUUCAUCUGUAUACAACAAGUAUGCCUUCUUGAUGCAGAUUAUAAAAUAAACACGCUGAGGUUCUGAGCUGCUGCUGCAGUUGGUGCCGCUAUCACAGGGAUCACAGUCCACCCCAUACCAGCUUUUCCGUCUGUCUGUGUGUCCAUCCUCUCUUCAGUCAAGUUUUCAGGACAGCACGCUCUUUGUUUCCAUUCCUGUCACACUUUAUUUCAGAAUCCAUCUGGGAUGAUGUCCCCUGCCCCGACACGAUCUUGGGGGAUUUCCUCAUGUGCGGGCCAGCUGCGGCACUACUUUCCUGUGUCGGCUGCUGGAAACGCUCUUCCGCUUGCUUGCGUUUUACAAGAAGGGUGUCACUGCAUUGGGAACUCUAGACUCUAAGUGCUUUGACUCUCGUCCUUUGACCAAAAACUUGUUUGUCAACAAAACAAUUACUUCUUUGACUUUCAUUUUCUGUUAUUCCGGUCUGGUUUAUCUAGACAUGAGUUAAUAAUUAAUUAUAUCUUCUGUUUGGCCUUCAAGUUCCAUUGCAAGGACGCUUUUCCAGGUUUUGCCUGUACCCCAGGGCCUUCUCCUCUCCUUUCGAGAUUAAUGAAUCAUGCUGGAACUGCUCAAGUAACUUUCCAGUCUCACACCUCUCUUCUAUUCCCCGCCCCCCGCCCUUCAUCUCUCCAGUUGUGUUACAUCUGGUUUCUGCAAACAUAGCCUAAGUUUGCUAACAAUCUCUUCCCCUGUGGAUAAAACCAUAAUGUCUUAAUUUCGACUAUCAUUUUUAGUUCUUUAAUUUUAACAUCUUGCUUUUUCAUUCUGAAGAUUUAUUUUUAUUUAUGUGUAUGAGCGUUUUGUCUAUGUGUUUCUGGGUGUGCACCACAUGUGUUCCUGGCGCCCAAGGAGCCCAAAAGAGAGUGUUAGAUACUUGGAACUGGAGUAACAGACAGUUAGGAGCCACUUUGUGCUUUGUGGGAAGUGAACCUGGGUCCCUCGCGAAAACAGCAAGUACUUUUAGCUGCAGAGGGCCAUCUCUCUAGUCCCCAACAUCCUGAUUUUAAAAAAUAAUUAAUUUCUAGUUAUUUGCUGAUAACUUUAUGUCUAAUGUUUGAAUUCCAUGAGUAUGGUGAAAAUAAUUGUUUUACAGCUGGUCAGAUGCAUUCCCAUAUAGCUGGUCUCUUUUGACUAUAGAGAAGGUUUGUUGAUUCUGGUACAUAUGCUUUGUCUUUCUAGGUGACCUGCAAACCCUCACUUGCGGUCCAUCUUGUUUGAAAAGGGGUUAUACACAUACCAUGAGGCAUCAGACCCUGUCAGCUUCCUCCAUUUCCUUCUGGGAGAUUUCUGGAGGACCCAGCAGUUAUUGAACUUAAGGCUCUUUGAUUUCCACCUUUAUCAUGUUCUCUUCGCGUUACCCCCUAGCACAGGGUUGCCAUGAGGAUCUCCUGCCUUUGGUGGGAGCUCUACUUAUUUUUCCUGCAGCCACAGGAACCUGCCACCGGUCUGCCUCACUGAGGUCUCUUUGGCUAAUCCUUUUCAUAGCAGAGCUGGUUGUAACGGAGCAGGCUGUCCACCUGGCCCCCUUGUCGGUCACCUAGACCCCGUGUAAAUAGGCAAAUGUCCUAGACAGAAAGGGUCCUGGCUCAUCUCCCAAACUCCAUCUCCUUGUUUCUGCUACUGCUUUAUGUGACUGGUGGUGAUGGAUAUCUCUAAAAAUAUGUUUUUAUGGUUGUCUUUCUGUUUGUUUUCAUCGUCUGAUUUCCAGAUGCCUUGAAUUACCUAGACCAUUGCUACCAGAAGCUAGCAACCUUUCGCACAAGGUUUGUUCUAUUUUCUAAUUAUAUUACUGCCAAUUAAAAUAUAAUAUAUAUGAAAAUUAAAAUACUUUAUCUUAAAACCAGAAAAUUUAGCAACCUUGAUGUUAUAUAUUAAUAUAACUGGAGAGGGGUUGGUGUUUCCCAAAUUUUUACCCCACCCUACUGUCUUAAACACCCCAGUAGAUACUCAGGGCCUGUGUUGGUGGGUUUCUGAGUUUUUUUUACCAUGAAAAGCAACAAUGGAACAGAGACAGUAAAAUAAUGCCAGUAUGAGUGAGAGAGCAUGGAUUAUACCUCGAUAACCACACACCCAAAGAUCUAGGACAUUCUCAUUUAUUUAUUUUUUCUCUUUUUUCCGACAUAGAUUCUUGCUAUGAACUUGAAGACCAUUAGGGAAGGCUGACAGAUUAACACGGAGCCCAGAAACCUUUAGAGGAAGAAGGAACUGAGGUCCCCGUCACCGGCACUGGUCCCAAGGAUGCAAACUCUCAGCAGGGACUCCUCUGAACUGACCAUGGCUCAGGCACAGAUCUGUAAUCUACAACUGUCCCCAAGCACCUGGUCCUUCCCCAGGGUACACAGCAGCCUGACAAACAACAGUAAGACGGUCUGAUUCUUCUCUUAGGAAUAAUACUUUUAUUUAUUUCUUUGAGAAUUUUGUAAGCAAGAAAAAAAAACAUAUUUGCUUUCCUGUCAAACACCCCAUUUCUACAUGUCGAUAACUCAUAAUAAUGUAGAUAAGGUAAUAGAAAAGUUCCCUGCAAAUCAAAGCAUCACGGUAUCAAGGCUCUAAUCAUUGGCACAUAGUAAUAGUAGGAGAUAGGUAUUUAGUAUGGAUAGACCAUAGAACAGGAAGAAAGACAUUGUGCAAGGCAAGGGGAGAAAUCGAGGGAUAGGUCAAAAUAAAGAGUGACUAGACCACAAAGUGAUAUUUGGAUAUCACUCGGUAGGUCAAUCAUUUCCUUUGGAAUAUAUGUAUUUUAAUUGACUACUGAUACUUAAACUGGAAGACAAAGACAACUCAGACAGAAAACAGACAUAUUAUUUUGCUAAAUAAAUAUUUGUAAACAAAAGAAAAAGAAAGAAAGACAAACUAGGGUGAGAGGAAUGGGCUGAACAGAGAUACCCAGGCCCUGGGUCUAUGGUGACAAGGACAGUUCUCACUGAGAACUCUUUCCUCCUCUUUCUCUUUCAUCCUAGGAACUGCCAAGGCCCAGGCAAGGACUUCAAUAGGUUCAAUGUUGGAGGUCCAGCACCACCAUGUCUUUUCAGGCCAACCCUUGGUAAGGCCAUUCUGGAUGGGUAAUACUGCUUCUCUCUCUCUCUCUCUCUCUCUCUCUCUCUCUCUCUCUCUCUCUCUCUCUGUGUGUGUGUGUGUGUGUGUGUGUGUGUGUGGAGAGGAGUUAGCAGACUCUCUGUACAGCUUCUCUCCCACAGCCUGCUUUACACAGCUGCUGUGCUGUGUGCUAGUCCCCAGCGCCUAGAGGACAUUACAUCCUAAGAGGGCUAGUCCGCUGGAAGAGAAAAAGAUGUCAGAGUUAGACCCAUCAUCCUGCUAAUUUGGGAUUGCACCGCUUGAGGAUGAGACCUGGGAACUCUCCUGGGGGAUGCGUUGGUUUUCAGUGAUUCUGUGCCAGACUGAAGGGUGCUCUCAAUACUCCAGGGCAUUUUUCAGAGGUGGAGGAGCAUCUCCAUAUUUUUGAGUGGCGUGUAGCACAACACCAUAGUUAAGACCAUAACUUUGGGGCCAGAAUCUAGGUUCAAAUACCAGUUGUGCUAUUUUUAAACCAUAGGUAAUUUAGGUUUUCAGAGCCAAUGUUUUCUCAUAUGUAAAACAUAAAUGGUUCACGUAAGCACCUGUGGCUACCAAUGACAUUGGGAUGUGGUAGCAAUAAAAUAUGACAUGCAGAAACCCACACCAUUCUAUGUAGCAAAAACAUGCUAUAUGCUGAUGAUGACUAUUUUUGUUUUUCUUGAAGAAGGAAGUGUACAUGCCAUACUAGUAGGUAGGACCAAGAACAUUUUCUUCUAUCCUGACAGGCUGACCUUUAGAACAGAGACAGCAAACCUCUUCCUUUAUCUCCCUUUAUCAACAAAAUAAAGUUCAUUUAUCUUUUCUAAUGAAAGAUAAGAUUAAAAAGAGAUCAAGAACGUGAGAGAGUUCUCAGUUCUUUGAACAAAGGCCACUUAACUCUGCUGCACCCUAGGCCAGUGAGGGGCCCAGCCUACUUUCUGUUCCCUGCCCUGAUCCCUGUAGCCAGCCAGAGGGAACACCCAUCAGAUUGUAGUUGGAGCAGACAAUGAUGAAAACAGUGGGGACAGACUGUCCCAGCCAUUGACAAGGUGUUCCCUAUGGGUAUUAGCUUCCUAGGGCAACAGCAAGGAUAGCUAUGUUGAAGACUGGAUAGCCCAACAUUGGUUGAACUGCAGGGGCAUAGAAAAAGGAAAAGGUUUACCAUGAAGGUUGCUUGAGUCUCACGAAGCAGACAGCUCAGCAGGGCACUCGUGCAUGCCACAGACCAAGGAUGGAAAGGAGCCCACCACAGCAGAGGAGUUUUCCUUGCAGUACAAAGUCAUUAGAGGGGUUCAUGGAUGGUCACUAUACAUUUUAUGAGUAUACUUAAUCACAGGAGCAUGGCUUCUUUUCCUUAUUCUUUUCCUUCCUUCCUUCCUUCCUUCCUUCCUUCCUUCCUUCCUUCCUUCCUUUCUUCUUACAUUCUGUGCCUUUAAGACUCAGCUGUCAAACAAACCUUAAGUGUUUUAAAUAAUUGCCUUUUCCAGAGUAAUUCGUGCUGUGCUAGACUGUCUAUCAACAAAUUCAGCAAGACUUCCGUGUUUUGGAAAACUUUCAAAUUAGAAGUUUCCUCACUUCAUCCAGGGCUUAUUUUGACUCUCUCAGCUUAGCUAAGAUAACCAUGAAAGAAAACAAGCUCAUUUGUGGAUUGACACGGAGGUAAGGUUUCCAUGGAGACCCAAAAUGAAACUGAUCUUGUUUCCCUUUUUGUGAAUUGGCCUGAAAAACAGGAAGGAAUCUUCCCAGACUCUCAGAAAUUUCUUCCCUUGGGUUGUUUUCUACACUCCUGGUAAUUUUCCAGGUGUAGGAAGGCAUGGCAGAGGUCAUUCCCCUCACAACUACAUGGGAGUUGGGCUGGCAUUUGAAGACUUAUCUGCUAGGCAGAGGCAGAAGAAAUAAGGAUCUCAAAGGUCAUCUCCAGAAGACUUCUCUGACUGUAAGGUACACAUGAGUCACCUGCGAGCUUAUGACAGUGCAGAAUCUGCUCAGUGAGUCUGAGAAGGGACCCAAGCCCGCAAUUCUUAGAUUUUUGGUUGCAAGUUUAGCUUUUAAUGGUUGAGCCAUCUCUCCAAACCUUAGCCUGCAAUUCUAAGAAGCAGCCUGCUGCCGUGGAUCAAGGAUCCAUUGGGAAGUGAAGUCUCCAUUGGGAUCCAUUGGGCAGAAGUUUGAUAAACAUAAAAAUAUACUUGCUUUGUAAUUCCUUAUCAUUGUUUUACUUGAUAAAAGUGAAUUCGUAAUAACUGCCAAUUCUGAACCCUGUUAUGAAUUAGACAAUGUUAACACAAGUGGGGGGGGGGGGGACCAGUUUCCUCAUCUAUAGACAAACACUCACAGAGUCAGGGACAGUGUGACACAUACAGCUGGAGAAUCUCAGGACUACAUCAUCAAAGUGUCUUAACAUUCUGGGAACACUACACUGGCCAUCCUGACUGUAGCUCCUGAACAUGGGCCUAAAGCAAAGAACAGAACACCAGAACAGACCCAUUGCUUGGCGGGGAUGCUGACUUUGGAAGUGAAUCUGGGAGUUACCAUUAAGGCAUCUGUCCCUGGUGACCCUCCAAGGGAAGCUUGUUCACACUAGUGUAGCUUGUUCACACUGGUGCAGCUUGUUCACACUAGUGCAGCUUGUUCACACUGGUGCAGCUUGUUCACACUAGUGUAGCUUGUUCACACUGGUGUAGCUUGGGCAGCUGCUAACAGUUUGGCAUGGUUCGCAUUCAGACUUUUCUUUCUCCGUCCCAUUUAACUGUUUCAUCCGGCGUAGGUAAAAUAGCAUUCGUCUGUAAACCAUGUCAAAGCAACUGCUUAAAGUGAAAAGAAAGAGGAGGAGGAGGAGGAGAAGAACCUUUCCAAUAGGAAGCGAAAUACCUGAAAAAAUUAGACUUCAAAAGCUAAAUAUAUUUUAAAACAUUUCCAUGUUUGGUUAUACUCAAAAGCUAAGAAGUUCAAUCUCAUGAGGGUCCAGUGUGCAGAUUUUUAUAAAAUCUCGAAAUUCAUCCAGAUUCACAAAUACACAUAAAUGCUAGUAUAAUUUUGCCUUUUAAAAAAAUAGUUGGUUUUUAUUUUAUAUGCAUUAAUAUUUGCCUGAAUGUACAUGCAGUGCCCACAGAGGCCAGAAGAGGGGGUAGGAUCCCCUGGGAUUAGAGUCACAGCAGCCUGUGAAUUAUCAUGUAGAUGCUGAGAUUUAAACACAGGUCCCCUGAAAGAGCAGCCAGUAUUCUUAACCAUGGAGUCAUCUUUCUGGUCCUGUAAUUUUGCCUUUUUAAAAAUAAAAAUCUUUAGACGAAGACAUUCGGAUGCAUGCAUCACUACUGUAACCUGAAACUGUGACCAGCUGUCAUUUUCAGAAGCUGGAAAGAAAAGGCUCGCAUGGGACAGCCCUUAGUCUAAAGCUGGCCUUCUCUCAGUUUCGGUAUAGCCUAUGAAAUAAAAACAGCUUUUAUGCUAUUAACUGAUUUUUUUUUAUUUUUUUAUUUUUUUACAAAAAUCUACCCAAAGAUAUUAUGACCUGUUAAAAUCUGAAACUCAAGUUUUGGUACCCAUAAAUGUAGUUCCGUUGGGAUGCCAGCCUCACUGAUUUGACCAUGUGGACUGCUUUUUUUAGCAGUCAAGAAGUUGCACAUAGACCAGGGGAAUUGUGCCCACCUCCCCACAACAUCCCUACAUUGCAGUCCCAAUGCUACCUUAUUUGGGGACAGAUCAUUAAGUUAAACCAAGGUCACUAAUUACAUUAUGACAUAUGCUAUUUUUUGAAUUUUAAAUGUCUGCCAAAGGCCCAUUUGUUAAACUCUCAGUCUCCAGUCUGAAUUAGAGGUUAGUAAAAGAAAGUUAGGCCACCAGGCACUUGCCAUGAAAGGGACUUUUGUGACAAUGGUCUCUGCUGUUGCUUUGGCUUUCCUACCGUCAUGGAGGAAGCAGUUUUGCUCUGUCAUGCAUUUCCCGCCCUGACAUGUUGCCCCUACUGGAAGGCGGAAGAGUCAGCCAAGCAUAGACUAAAGCCUCUGGAACCAAAAGUCUCUCCUUCUCAGCUGUCUGCCCCGGGUGCUUUGCCCUGGUGAUGGAGCGCUGACGUCACUGGUGUUCUUAGACAAAGGUGGGAUUAGGACACUGAAACAUCAGAGACAGAGAAGGCAACUGUGUUCUCACCGGGAAGGAAGGCCUAGAACAGCCCAUUCCUCAGAGCCCCUAGAACAGCGUUCCUCAACCUUCCUAACGCUGUGACCCUUUAAACAGGGUGCUUUAUGCUGUGGUGACUCCAACCAUAAACUUACUUCAUUGCCAUUUUGUAACUGUAAUUUUGCUGUUGUUAUGAAUCGUAAUGUAAAUAUCUGAUGUGUUGGAUAUCUGACCUUCAACCCCUGUGAAAGGAUCAUUCGACCCAAAGAAGGUCACGACCCACAGGUUGAGAACCACUGCCCUGGGAGGAACCAACCCUUUGGAUACCUGGACCUUAAACUUCUCUCCAGACUUGUGACAUGGUGAGUUUCUCUUGCUCUGUGACAUCAGUUCUCGCAAACUAGUGCCGCUAGCCAAGACCCCACACUUUACUAACAGACCGUUUGAGGGAAGCUUGCCGGCACCUGCUCUCGGACGCUAAUCAUUCUGGUCAAGUCGGUAAAUUUAACAAGAACAUGCCUGCUGAUCAGCAACAGAGACUUCAGAAACCCUUCCUUUGAUGAACCCACCCACCUUCCAUUAUCUCCCCCCCAACCCACUCGGGAGUUUAUUAUGUCCACGCGGUAGAAAUGGCCCACAAAUGGCGCAUCUGCCUGGAUAAAUUGAGUCACCGAGCAAGUCCCGCUCCAUGUGCCUUGCUUUGAGUCAGGAAGACCUUGAAUUUGCUCCACACUCUCUGUGGAUGAAGGGGCCCUGAAAGAUGGUUAACGUGCAGUAGCAGAGACUCAUAAGCUCAUCUCCAGCCUUCCCCACAGCACAGAAUGAGUAGAAGGGCACAGGCCCUGGCAGCUUCUUCUAAGAGUCAGGUUUCCAGACACUGUCAGCUCCAAGGGAAGCCUCCCUAGAAUCCUGCCCACAUUAUUAUUAACUUUAAAGAGGAGGUGCAGGGGAGGAAACAAUAACAAAAGCUGGGAUUUAUUAAGCAAAUUCAUGAGGCAUGCAUGGGACAAACUUUUUACAGGAAUAAUCCGAUUUACAGGUGGUUAUAAAAAUCCCAUAAAAUAAAAGGCGUCUGAGUAGUCCAUUUGGAAUGCUCUGAUCAAAUGACCGAUAUCCAAACAAGCUAUGCACUCCUGUGGAACUGGAAAAUGGAAGAAACAGGGCUAAAAAACCACACUCUUGGCUCUGAAACUUGACCUCCGACUCAGAUACCAUCACUAUGACACUAACUAUAUGUAAAUGACAAACAAACAGAAAACAGGACCUUGCUGGAGCAUCUUCCCAAAUUUUAGCCACCGGAAGAACCGGCUGGCUCUACCAUUUUAUCUCUUCAUGUAGCCUGUCUGUUUAAUCUGAUACAUUGGUAAGCCAGGGCCUCACUGCUAUGGGAGAGACUGCCCUCCUGGAGCUGCCUAAGUCUUAGAGAUACCCAACAGCUUACACACUAGCGUGCCCUCCACCUGCAGGCCAGUGGCUCACUUCAUUAAGUUUAUACUGAAGCCACUGUUUUCCUGUCCUGCAUCCCCCAAAGCCAUACACAAAGCAGUUAGGGACAGGCCCUGUGCUCUGGACGGAGCCUCCUGGAAUUAGUCGAACUAGUCAGUCCUCAACUUGCUUCUGGCCUAGCCUACUCUUAUCCCAGAAAAAUAAUAGUGGCUUCAGCCCAAGGCUUCCCCUUGCUUCUUCUGCCUCCCAGCCGCCGCUCAUACACUCUGUGUGAUCUGGUGGGGUGUGUGUGCCCCCCACUUUAGGACUGUGAGUGAUAUAUCAUUUCGUCAACUGGUAGUUAUCUCCUGAUCUGCUGGCCCUUUUAUAUCUGACAACAAUGGAACCAUGACUUGAAGCCACUCUCGUAGUCUCUCUGUUCCUAAACUGCGGAGUACAGAGGCCUCAGCCAACCAAACAGCACUGCACGGGACAAUUUCUACCAACAGAAAUGCUCAAAGAUGAGCUCCCUCCCGUCCCAAGCUACUUAGAACCAGGACUUCAUUACCCCUUUUGGUAUUUUCCUCCAUCCCAAGACCAAAUAUUCUGCCAUCAAAAUACCCCCACCCUCACCCCAAGCUCCCUUUAGAUCCCAGCAUUCCUGGGAAGCAAAAACAGGGACAAGGGACUCCCCUGUUGAGUAUCUUGCACAGAAUUAUUUCUCAAUAUGGCAGUAGGAUAGUGGACUUCGAACGAGCUGAGCCAGCUGACCGCCUCUCUGGCAGAAAUGCCAUCUCCCAUGCCAGUGCAUGGCUGCGGUGAAGUCUGGCAGUGCCCUCUCCAGGUGCCAGUUGAAGACACGGAGUCCAGGGCUUUCUGCCAAAGACCUCAGGCCCUGACCAGAAUCCCUGUGGACAUUUGUGCACUGGGAUGCACUCCGGCUUCUGGGCAAAGGCAAUGAUCUACUAGCCACACCAAAAGGUACUGCCUGAAAGAAGUCCUGGAUCACCACCAGCCGCGAGACUUGGGCAGCUUUCUAUGAAAAGGCAGGCGUGGAAAUGCUGCCUUGCUGUGCAGUGGGACGAAAGACGCUAGAAAAGCCAGACAGGACCGGCCACAGCUUGUCAAACCCAUUCAUCCGGCCAGGAGUUGUGAUUAGUGACCUUCUGUACUUGCGUGGCCAGCACAAUUUCAUUCAUGCUUUCUUCUGAGGCCGAGUAAAUAAGAUCCGGCAAGAUUUGAUGAUGUGUGGACAUAGACCGCAUGGGUUUAACCAAUGGCUGGUUAACAGCCUGUGUGCUUUGGACACGGCCAUGCUGAGGCUCAGCGCAAACUGGCUGGUGAUAGUUGACAUUGUAUCUGAAUUUUAGAAAAUCAGUUGAGCAGCAGAAGGAUCAGAUCUUAAAUGUUAUAUUUCCUUAUAUUCAUUUAAAAGUUAGCUUUGUUUUUGUUUUGAACUAUGUGUAUCAAGUAAAAAUGGGACAAUUCAUUAGGAUUUCUAAACCUUAAGCUAAACCCAACCUGAGUCCAAGGUCCAGGUACAAUACUCUACUCCUCUGUGAUCUUUUCUUAAGGCCACUAGGUUUUCUGGACAGGUUGUCAGCUUGAGAGUCUGUCCUGAGCUUUGGAAAGAGAGCCUCUUCUGUUUCUGCUACUCUAUCUGAGAUGUAAGAUGGGCUCUGUCACAGGAUUGGCAUGAGGGAUAAGCAUAAGCGGUGUCUGUUUCUCACAGGUUCUGGGCAGGGGACAGUGUGGGUGGACAGGCUCGUCAUACACUCGGUACCUUGAAGAGAGUUCUGAUCACAAAGGCUGGUUGAGGAAAGAGUCCAUUGUCAUCAAAACUCUAAACAGCUCUCGUGUGUGACACCCUGGAAAACGUCAGCCGAACUCUCAGUCUGAAGGAGGUUUUCACAGAGACUCGCAGCUCCAGAGAAAUAACACAGAAAUGGAUGGGUUGGAGUCUGGAUAUCACAUUAAGGCCAGAAAAAGAAGGACUGUGGGUCUGGUGUUUUUUGUUUGUUUGUUUUUAAAUUGCUUUUGUUUGGGGUUUUGGUUUUCCUCAGGACAUAAUUCAGCUAAACCAAUAGAAACGUAAGAAAGCCUGUAAAGCAGGGCUGGGGACAUGACUCUGUAGGAUAAGCACUUGCUGGGCCAACUCAAGAACCUAAGUUCAGAUCUCCAUUGCCCACCACCCACAUCAACUAUACACACUUGUAUGGGGCAGGUGUGUGCGCAUGCGCACACACGCACACACGGUGAUGGGGGAGGGAAGGGGAGGAGGAAGGGAGGAACAAGACAGUAACAAAAACAAUAGAACCUAGAUAACUUUUUCUUUGUUGAAGAUUAAUUCUCCAAGUGGCAGAUUUGUGAAAGACAGUUUCUUUCUGCACCACUAGAGGGAAAUCUAACCCACCCACUAGAACAUGACCCCUCUCUCUCUCUCUCUCUCUCUCUCUCUCUCUCUCUCUCUCUCUCUCUCUCUCUCUCUCAACAGUAUUGGCAUUUUAAGGCUGAAAAAUACUUUGAGACAUUAUCUUAAUCAAUCCUCUGCAUUCUUGGCCAUAUUUUAAAAUUAUUAUUUGAAUCUCCAUGGUUAUAGAGACUUCAGAAACGCACAAACCAGCCGUCCUAGUGGGGCUAGUGGGAACAUCACUAUUGGGAACGGAGCCUGACAGCAGAUCUGAAUCUCCCCUCCUUCAGCUUGAGUUUAUUUCCUCAAAUUACAUAUUCAUUAGCUAUGGCGAACAGCUGGUCAUCUUUCAGCACCUCACAUUAUUUUUAAAUUUCUGAAGAUGCCUGGGUCAUCCAUCUCUUCCACGGAAAUGAGCCAGCUCCUUAACUCAGCCAUGGCGUUUAUAGCCCAACUCUCCCGCCACGUCCUCCUUCUCUAAACUCAACCGGGCUCGCUUCCCCCUCCAGUUCUGUGCCCCAUCACAGCAACACCUACUAAACUCUGCAGAGAAAAGGAAAAUAAAGUAUUUCCUCACGGAUUUCUUCAGACCUGUGGCUGUUAAGACAUUCCUAUACAGAUUUUCUUUCUAAAUAACAAAAUGGUAAAAACUAUAUGUUUAUAGUAUGACUCAAAAAUCAUGCUCACUUUCCCUCACGGACGUAUAAAUACGCAUGCACACACGUUCAUAGCCACACAUGUUUUCAUUGUAUCAUGAAAACGAACUGGCUAAGGAAUGCCUAUGUGUGUCACUUUGAAGUCUGUUAUGUUUCUGACUCUCACAUCAUAAAUACUUCAAUUUAUAAUUCAGUUUUUAAUUCUGUUCUUCAAGCCUUUGACUAAUAAUUCCAGGCUCUUUAUUAGCUAUAAAACACAACCAGCAUGUAUUGAGAAUAUUAUCCUUUCAAUAAGGUUGUAAAAAGCUACUCAUUGCUAAUAAAAGCAACGGGGAGAAAACUUGACAUUUCCCUGUGUUUGUAUGUCUGAAAUGGUGAAACCCAUAUUUGGUUUUUGUUCCCCGUUCCUGGCAUAGAGCUAAUUCUAUUGGGACUUCCUGGGUAAUGAGUGUCUGUGUUGAUUAUAUUCCAGCCACACCCAAAUUCAUACUCACAAGGUGUCUUCAGGCUGGGCACUGCCUGACAAGGACACACCCACAUGGUUAGACAGUUUGAACUUGUGGUGACUCCCUGACCCCUAUGGGUAAGUUCAACAACCAAGGACAAUGGCUUUAUCAAUCAAUCAAGUUAAAGUAAUGAAGCUUUCAUUAAAUCCCCUAAAGAGGGCUGGGAGAACUUGUGGGAAGGUGAGCACAGAGAAACAUGGUGUGGGAGGUGGAAGUGGAGGAUGUUGAAAGGGUACAGAAGCUCCUCACCCAUCCCCAUCCCUGGCCCUGCCUAUUUCUUCCUUGGCCAUGCUUGAGCUGUACCUUCUAGAACAAACCAGUAACAGUCACGUGGAGCCCUUUCCUGAGGUCAGGCAAAAUGGAAUUGAAUUUUACUGAGCUCUUGGGACCCCGUUGAUGCUAGAAGCUCAAAGAAUUGAUAAAUGUGGAAAGACGAACCUCUUAACUACUGAGCCAUCCUUCCAGGCCCCGAAGGCAGAUCUUUUAAUAAAAUCGAAGUAAACUUCCAGACACAGCAUUGAACUCAAGCUCAGGUGAGGAGUCCUCGCCCCUUUGGAAUUAACCAUUAGUCUGAUUGGGAGUCUUUCUUCAAACAAAACCAAUCUGGAAAUGACCUGUUCCAUUGAUCCGAACAACUCCUUAUCUCAGUUUUCUCUUUUGCAAAACUAGAUGAUAAUCCCACUGUGGGGGCAAUGAAACGGGGGUGGGGGGGCAAUAGUGUACAUAAAGUAUCUAGAAUCGAGCCGGGUACACUGCAGAUAACAUUAAACAUCAACACUGUGAGCAUCUUGACACCUACAUCAGGCCAACUGAACCUUUUCAUUCCUGCCCUCUUCCUCAGAAGGCCCCAUCUGAAAAGCCAUACAGUUCUAGACCAGGAUGGAAAUAUAUAGCUGGAGUAACCACAUGGCCAGCUAAGAGGUGCCAAUCACACUGUAAGGAUUAAUAGAUACCUUCACUCUCAAAAGUGCCCUGGCCUGUCCAGUCUCUCCAUAGACAACAAAGGGUCUCUAUAGUGUCUAUUUCUGAACUAUAAAUGAUUAUAAGAACUCAGAACGAAAUGGCCGGUGGGUUUGAGUGAUGCAUGAAUUAAACAUAAAAAGACUCCUGGCAUUUUAGUCACUCAUCUGCUAGAUGCAACUCAUCAAAAACACAUCAGUUCAUCAGUUUCAAGAGUAUUGGCUCCUUCCCAAGACUGGAGUAGGCUGGGGUGUGGUUACAUCUUGAUUAGUCCCAAGCUGACCUUCAUUCUCUGAUAAUCGAGCCCUUAAUAAAACUUUCUUCCUUUUCCCUUUGGCUGUAUUUUGUGCAUUAGCUACUCCACCCAUGUGCUCCUAUGGACAGGGAGUGUCCAAAGUGAACACAAUGAACACAACAUUAAUUUGGCAACCCUGCGGAGAAGCGGGAUGGAAAGAAUAUGGAAACAACCUUACUGUGACCUGUAGGUAGCUAUUAAAUUCACAGGCAACUCUUCACAAGUUGCCUGUGAGUUUAAUCCAUCUCGGUUUGACCCUUUUUACAAAUUUCCAUCAGCUGGCUUGAGAGCUCACUGGGGUCCUGGUUGCCAGUAAAAUAAAAGUAACAGUGUUUGAAAAAACGGUGUGAAUUCUCAGCAUCUGCCUUUGGGAAGGAAAGCUUCCUUUUCUCAAAUGCCAGGGAUCAUGGCUGGGCAAACACCUUCCCUCCUGCGGCCUUCCCUAUGUCCUUCCUCCACUCACCACCAAUUCAUUGGUAAGUAUGGAGAGAAUAUUUUAAAAAGAGUUUGUGUUGGUGAAGUGGUUACUUGACAUCAACUUAAACCCAACGGCACGAUCACCUCUGCGAAAGGGCACAGCCCAGACUCUAGCUAUAGGGGUUGAGAGUAGCAAGUGAGUACGCAGGUGUCCUGGUUGGAUCUCUAGGCUAAUUUGAACACUUCCUCCUUGACGUAACAAGUCUAAUGUUUAAAGCUGCCUUCCUUGUGUGCUUUAAAUGUCUGAGGAAGACACAAUCCGUGUGCAAAGUAAAAUAGACAGAUAUCAGUGUGGUAUUUGAAGGGAACUCUGUCCUCAUGCAAAAUAACUAGAAUAUGGGGGACUACAGCAUUGGGGUGGGUAAAACAUACAAAAUUACUUAAUAGAGCUGUAGAUUAGAGAGUACUGUAACAGGUGUCUGUGUGUGUUUGUUUGUGUAUGUGUGUGUGCGCAUGUGCACGUGCACAUAUGCAUGAGGGUGUUCUCUGCAAUCUAGGUGAGGUGGCAAAACCAAAGAACAAUCUAAGGAAGUACAAACCAGCCCUUCCCUGUUAGGCCGCUUGUCAGUACUGACCCUUAGCUUGAAUGUCACAUCUUUAUCUCUGUUAAUGGCUAACCAAAGCUUCAUCCUCUCAGGGCUCUCAGGAGCAAAAACCAGUUUGUGGCAGAAAGCAGCAUUGCCUAAAACCUCCAGUGGAAGGGCCAAAAUGGAGCUGAGCAGUGAUUAAUGUGGAACCUACGUUAAGCCACAGGACAUGGAGGAGAGAGGCCCGUGGGAGCUCUAAGGGAAAACACGCAAUGCCAGGAGCAGAGCUCUGAUGGUGUACCUGUGGUUCCUGAUCGUGACCGCUGGGAUCCCUCUCGUAGCUCUCCGCAUACAGCCUGAUGGUGGCCCGCACAC
Alexandromys fortis (reed vole) is the source of this 15484-nucleotide long non-coding RNA. RefSeq lists it as uncharacterized. The transcript is spliced from 3 exons. Lineage: Eukaryota; Metazoa; Chordata; Mammalia; Rodentia; Cricetidae. The record is from RefSeq and is a predicted model, not a curated record.